Anas platyrhynchos (mallard) is the source of this 331-nucleotide non-coding RNA. Lineage: Eukaryota; Metazoa; Chordata; Aves; Anseriformes; Anatidae. The record is from RefSeq and is a predicted model, not a curated record.
CGCUGAUGCUUCGUGAAGGCAAGCCAGAUCAUUUUUUGCUCUCUCUGGCUGAUGCUUGGGGAAACUGAUGCACGGCAGAGUCGGUCACUUGAGCAGGCAAAGAGGAGAGGCACACGGGGACAGCGGGGAGGUGAGACUUCUCCUGAUGUGAACGGAGCAGGGCUGCCCGAGUGCAAGCUGCAACCCGAGGGCACAAACCCAGGCUGGCUUUGUUCCCAAUUCUUCUAAUAGAGAAAGCAGUGCUGGAGGUAAGGGGGGAGUAAAAAAAGGGAAAAGGAAAAGGAAAAAAAGGAAAAGGAAAAAAAAAGAAAAAGGAAAAAAAAAAAGAAAA